Molecule: non-coding RNA, 20 nt
Filed under: Arabidopsis thaliana (thale cress)
Lineage: Eukaryota; Viridiplantae; Streptophyta; Magnoliopsida; Brassicales; Brassicaceae
Source: RNAcentral
UGUCAAAAGUAGUCGGUGAA